Esox lucius (northern pike) is the source of this 422-nucleotide long non-coding RNA. Lineage: Eukaryota; Metazoa; Chordata; Actinopteri; Esociformes; Esocidae. The record is from Ensembl.
CCCGGAUAACAGCAUAACACAGGCUCCCGUCAUUCCCAAAAUAUGAGACAUCAAAGGUUGUCCAGGAUAACAGCAUAACACAGGCUCCCGUCAUUCCCAAAAUAUGAGACAUCAAAGGUUGUCCCGGAUAACAGCAUAACACAGGCUCCCGUCAUUCCCAAAAUAUGAGACAUCAAAGGUUGUCCAGGAUAACAGCAUAACACGGGCCCCCGUCAUUCCCAAAAUAUGAGACAUCAAAGGUUGUCCCGGAUAACAGCAUAACACAGGCUCCCGUCAUUCCCAAAAUAUGAGACAUCAAAGGUUGUCCAGGAUAACAGCAUAACACAGGCUCCCGUCAUUCCCAAAAUAUGAGACAUCAAAGGUUGUCCCGGAUAACAGCAUAACACAGGCUCCCGUCAUUCCCAAAAUAUGAGACAUCAAAG